RNAcentral lists this ribosomal RNA (445 nucleotides) under uncultured bacterium. Its description in RNAcentral is "partial 16S ribosomal RNA". It matches the Rfam family "Bacterial small subunit ribosomal RNA", at positions 354 to 796 of the family's 1533-position model. The record is from RNAcentral.
GUGAGGAAUAUUGGUCAAUGGACGAGAGUCUGAACCAGCCAAGUCGCGUGAAGGAAGACGGUUCUAUGAAUUGUAAACUUCUUUUGUGCAGGAAUAAAGUGGGUUACGUGUAACCUUUUGUAUGUACUGUACGAAUAAGGAUCGGCUAACUCCGUGCCAGCAGCCGCGGUAAUACGGAGGAUCCGAGCGUUAUCCGGAUUUAUUGGGUUUAAAGGGUGCGUAGGUGGAUUGGUAAGUCAGCGGUGAAAGUUUGCAGCUUAACUGUAAAAUUGCCGUUGAAACUGUCGGUCUUGAGUGCAAAUGAGGUAGGCGGAAUGUGUUGUGUAGCGGUGAAAUGCUUAGAUAUAACACAGAACUCCGAUUGCGAAGGCAGCUUACUGGGAUGCAACUGACACUGAUGCACGAAAGCGUGGGUAUCAAACAGGAUUAGAAACCCUUGUAGUCC